CAAGCAGGGUGCGGGGCAGCACAGAGAACCGGGCAAAGUCACGAUCUCUACCGAGUAAAUAACUUGGUGCCUGAAACUCACUUCAGUCCCUUCUUAUUGGAAGGUGGGGGAGAGGAAUGGAGGGAGUGUCUAGCUGUCUAUCCGGAUCUUCACCCUCCCGGGUCAAAUCCCAGAAGUGGAGUUCUUGUAUCACUUACCGGCUUCUGGUUUCCUUUCAGACGCCCACACGCGGGAGCGAAAUCCACUGGGCGGACACCAGAAGUGAGCACUUUGCGCCCUGGAAAUUUACACUGUGAAGUGGCGAAAAGCCCCAGCCCCGAUAGACAGGGUCCUCCCACCCCGGCUCAGCCCUCCCGAGACCCCGGGUACUCGCCUUGCGCGCCCGCCACAGAGUUCGAAAAGCGAGAACUACUUCUCAAAUCACUAGUCACAUUCUGGUGGAAGUCAAGCAAUGAAGAUGGCAUAGAAACACAUUCCAAAUACUAUGAUUCCAUAAAGUAUACAGUAGCAGUUCAUCUGGCACACCCUCGUUUGAAUAUCUGUCUCAGAAGAUUUUGACAGAAGAGAAAGCGGUCUCAUUUCUAUUUAACAUGAAAAUUUAUUUCAUUGGUUUCAUGUCACAGGCCCGUGACUGUAUAAAGAGUCAUAAUCUUUACAAACAGAAUGACUCACAGAGACACAUUGCAAAGCUAUAAUCCAAAACACUGAUGUUAAUUUCAGAGGCCAUCAAUGGUGUUAAGAAGGAGCAUUUUUUGGGCCGGGUGCAGUUGCUCACGCCUGUAAUCCCAGCACUUUGGGAGGCCGAGGCAGGUGGAUCAUGAGGUCAACAGAUCGAGACUAUCCUGGUCAACAUGGUGAAACCCCAUCUCUGCUAAAAAUACAAAAAAUUAGCUGGGCAUGGUGACGCAUGUCUGUAAUCCCAGCUACUCAGGAGGCUGAGGCAGGAGAACUGCCUGAACCAGAAGCCGAGAUCGCGCCAUUGCACUCCAGCCUGAGUAACAAGAGCGAAACUCCAUCUCAAAGAAAAAAAGAAGGAGCAUUUUUUAACCAAAUAAUUGAACACUCAGUUACUUUUCAGUUCUAAUUCAGUUUUUGACACCAAAAUGGACCAUUUUCUUUACAUAAUGAAUGCAGAACUUGCCAAUAAGAACUUCCAAUACUAAACUUCUAUGUAAAACAAAACAUCUCAAAAUCAGUAACUACUUUAAUGAAAUGGUAAAAAAAAUUUAAACACAAAGGAAGGAAAGUAUCUCUGCAAGCAUGUCUAUUAACUUUUCAGAUUUGGUGACUUCUUUCUAAUUAAUUCCUUUACCUCUGUUCCUCAUCCACAUAAAAAUGACAAAAAUUAAAGAGAAGUUUCAAGCCUAUAAUAAAAUUGCUCCAUUGUUGGUAUGUAAUUUUUUUUUAAAUUCAUUUUUCAGUUGUCAUAAUUCAUAUGAGAAUUAUUAAAAUAGAGUUAGUUGCCUUUAAGGACCUUAUUUGGAGGCCA
This 1489-nucleotide long non-coding RNA is filed under the name Callithrix jacchus (white-tufted-ear marmoset). RNAcentral's name for it is "lncRNA (ENSCJAG00000073086.1)". The record is from RNAcentral. Lineage: Eukaryota; Metazoa; Chordata; Mammalia; Primates; Cebidae.